GCUGGCCGCGCAAGUCCAUCGGGAAAUCCACCUGCUCAACAGGUGGGCGCCCGGUAGAAACUGCGUGGCUUGGGACCGGAAGGCGCGACGGGUACGUCCGGGGUAGGAGUGAAAUCCCGCAAUCCUGGACGGACCGCCGAUGGCGAAAGCACGUCGCGAGAACGGAUCCGACAGUGAGGGACGAAAGCCAGGGUCUCGAACCGGAUUAGAUACCCGGGUAGUCCUGGCCGUAAACAAUGUCUGCUAGGUGUGGCUCCCACUACGAGUGGGUGCUGUGCCGUAGGGAAGCCGCUAAGCGAGCCGCCUGGGAAGUACGUCCGCAAGGAUGAAACUUAAAGGAAUUGGCGGGGGAGCACCACAACCGGAGGAGCCUGCGGUUUAAUUGGACUCAACGCCGGACAUCUCACCGGUCCCGACAGUAGUAAUGACAGUCAGGUUGACGACCUUACCCGACGCUACUGAGAGGAGGUGCAUGGCCGCCGUCAGCUCGUACCGUGAGGCGUCCUGUUAAGUCAGGCAACGAGCGAGACCCGCACUUCUAGUUGCCAGCAGUACCGCGAGGUAGCUGGGGACAGUAGGGAGACCGCCGUGGCUAACACGGAGGAAGGAACGGGCAACGGUAGGUCAGUAUGCCCCGAAUGUGCUGGGCAACACGCGGGCUACAAUGGUCGAGACAAAGGGUUCCAACUCCGAAAGGAGACGGUAACCUCAGAAACUCGAUCGUAGUUCGGAUUGUGGGCUGCAACUCGCCCACAUGAAGC
Molecule: ribosomal RNA, 761 nt
Filed under: uncultured Halobacteria archaeon
Lineage: Archaea; Methanobacteriati; Methanobacteriota; Halobacteria
Description: bacterial SSU rRNA
Rfam family: Archaeal small subunit ribosomal RNA
Source: RNAcentral